UCCGGUUUGUCACCGGCAGUCGCUCUAGAGUGCCCACCAUUACGUGCUGGCAACUAGACCUAAGGGUUGCGCUCGUUGCGGGACUUAACCCAACAUCUCACGACACGAGCUGACGACAACCAUGCACCACCUGUCUCCCCUGUCCCGAAGGAACGCUCCAUCUCUGGAGCCGUCAGGGGGAUGUCAAGACCUGGUAAGGUUCUUCGCGUUGCUUCGAAUUAAACCACAUACUCCACUGCUUGUGCGGGUCCCCGUCAAUUCCUUUGAGUUUCAGUCUUGCGACCGUACUCCCCAGGCGGAAUGCUUAAUGUGUUUACUUCGGCACCAAGGGUAUCGAAACCCCUAACACCUAGCAUUCAUCGUUUACGGCGUGGACUAC
RNAcentral lists this unclassified non-coding RNA (379 nucleotides) under uncultured Paenibacillaceae bacterium. RNAcentral describes it as "contains 16S-23S intergenic spacer region". The record is from RNAcentral. Lineage: Bacteria; Bacillati; Bacillota; Bacilli; Caryophanales; Paenibacillaceae.